This 117-nucleotide small RNA is filed under the name Marmota monax (woodchuck). Lineage: Eukaryota; Metazoa; Chordata; Mammalia; Rodentia; Sciuridae. The record is from RNAcentral.
GCCAGGCACAGAGGUACUUGCCUGUAGUCCCAGCUACUCUGGAAGCUGAGGCAGCAGGAUUAUUUGAGCCCAGGUUUUGUGGCCAGCCUGGUCAACUAUAGUGAGAUCCCAUCUCAA